GGGCCCGCACAAGCGGUGGAGUAUGUGGUUUAAUUCGAUGCAACGCGAAGAACCUUACCAGGGUUUGACAUCCUGCGAAUCUCUUGGAAACGAGAGAGUGCCUUCGGGAACGCAGUGACAGGUGGUGCAUGGCUGUCGUCAGCUCGUGUCGUGAGAUGUUGGGUUAAGUCCCGCAACGAGCGCAACCCACGUCUUUAGUUGCCAGCAUUUAGUUGGGCACUCUAGAGAGACCGCCGGUGAUAAACCGGAGGAAGGUGUGGAUGACGUCAAGUCAUCAUGCCCCUUACAUCCUGGGCUACACACGUACUACAAUGCUACGGACAAAGGGCAGCCACUGGGUGACCAGGAGCGAA
RNAcentral lists this ribosomal RNA (353 nucleotides) under uncultured bacterium. RNAcentral describes it as "bacterial SSU rRNA". It matches the Rfam family "Bacterial small subunit ribosomal RNA", at positions 917 to 1271 of the family's 1533-position model. The record is from RNAcentral.